This 343-nucleotide unclassified non-coding RNA is filed under the name soil metagenome. RNAcentral describes it as "partial contains 5.8S ribosomal RNA, internal transcribed spacer 2, and large subunit ribosomal RNA". The stretch from base 2 to 120 matches the Rfam family "5.8S ribosomal RNA", at positions 36 to 154 of the family's 154-position model. The record is from RNAcentral.
UAUGAAGAACGCAGCGAAAUGCGAUAAGUAAUGUGAAUUGCAGAAUUCAGUGAAUCAUCGAAUCUUUGAACGCACAUUGCGCCCGCUAGUAUUCUGGCGGGCAUGCCUGUCCGAGCGUCAUUUCAACCCUCAAGCCCCCGGGCUUGGUGUUGGGGAUCGGCGAGCCUCCGCGCCCGCCGUCCCCUAAAUCUAGUGGCGGUCUCGCUGUAGCUUCCUCUGCGUAGUAGCACACCUCGCACUGGGAAACAGCGCGGCCACGCCGUUAAACCCCCAACUUCUGAACGUUUGACCUCGGAUCAGGUAGGAAUACCCGCUGAACUUAAGCAUAUCAAUAAGCGGAGGA